CCUUUUUCGGAAGGUAUGCUUAAAGAGGGGCUUGCGUCACAUUAGUUAGUUGGUAGGGUAAAGGCCUACCAAGACGAUGAUGUGUAGCUGGACUGAGAGGUUGAACAGCCACAUUGGGACUGAGACACGGCCCAAACUCCUACGGGAGGCAGCAGUAGGGAAUUUUCGGCAAUGGAGGAAACUCUGACCGAGCAACGCCGCGUGAACGACGAAGUACUUCGGUAUGUAAAGUUCUUUUAUUGAAGAAGAAACAAUAGUGGAAAAACUAUCUUGACGUUAUUCAAUGAAUAAGCCCCGGCUAACUAUGUGCCAGCAGCCGCGGUAAUACAUAGGGGGCGAGCGUUAUCCGGAAUUAUUGGGCGUAAAGGGUGCGUAGGCGGUUUAAUAAGUCUCUAGUUUAAUUUCAACGCUUAACGUUGUCCUGCUAGAGAAACUGUUUAACUAGAGUGAGAUAGAGGUAAGCGGAAUUCCAUGUGUAGCGGUAAAAUGUGUAAAUAUAUGGAGGAACACCAGAGGCGUAGGCGGCUUACUGGGUCUUUACUGACGCUGAUGCACGAAAGCGUGGGGAGCAAACAGGAUUAGAUACCCUGGUAGUCCACGCCGUAAACUAUGAGUACUAAGUGUCGGGGUUAAACUCGGUACUGAAGUUAACACAUUAAGUACUCCGCCUGAGUAGUACGUACGCAAGUAUGAAACUUAAAGGAAUUGACGGGAUCCCGCACAAGCGGUGGAUCAUGUUGUUUAAUUCGAAGAUACACGAAAAACCUUACCAGGUCUUGACAUACUCUGCAAAGCUAUAGAAAUAUAGUGGAGGUUAUCAGGGAUACAGGUGGUGCAUGGUUGUCGUCAGCUCGUGUCGUGAGAUGUUAGGUUAAGUUCUAAAACGAGCGCAACCCCUGUCGUUAAUUGCCAGCACGUUAUGGUGGGGACUUUAGCGAGACUGCCAAUGAAAAAUUGGAGGAAGGUGGGGAUUACGUCAAAUCAUCAUGCCCCUUAUGAUCUGGGCUACAAACGUGAUACAAUGGCUAUUACAAAGAGUAGCUGAAACGCGAGUUUUUGGCAAAUCUCAAAAAAAUAGUCUCAGUUCGGAUUGAAGUCUGCAACUCGACUUCAUGAAGUUGGAAUCCCUAGUAAUCGCGAAUCCAACAUGUCCCGGGGAAUACGUUGACGGGGUUUGUACCCCCCGGCCCGUA
This 1193-nucleotide ribosomal RNA is filed under the name Coconut lethal yellowing phytoplasma. Its description in RNAcentral is "bacterial SSU rRNA". It matches the Rfam family "Bacterial small subunit ribosomal RNA", at positions 193 to 1399 of the family's 1533-position model. The record is from RNAcentral. Lineage: Bacteria; Bacillati; Mycoplasmatota; Mollicutes; Acholeplasmatales; Acholeplasmataceae.